Molecule: long non-coding RNA, 762 nt
Filed under: Sorghum bicolor (sorghum)
Lineage: Eukaryota; Viridiplantae; Streptophyta; Magnoliopsida; Poales; Poaceae
Description: long non-coding RNA (SBIC_LNC000779)
Source: RNAcentral
UGAACCAUACAUUUACUUUUUACUGCUUAUGAGCAUUGAGUGUGGUCAAGCUGUGUAGACCCUUAGGAGCUUGUCAUGCAGUUAAAAUCAAAAUUCACUUGCACGUUCACUCAUACAUGCUACUUCUACUCCAGAAGUACGCACCCACAUACAUCCACUCAUUUCCAUCUCCAGAUUCACCCAAAAGUAUUCUACUCCUAUCCAGGAGAGAAUAGCCAAAAACAUUAUCCUAUCCCUGUUAUUCCCCGUAGAAUAAAUGCUUGAGAUAUUUUGGUUACUACCACUUGCUACAUUAUUCCAGGAGGGUGAGUGCUCUGAAAAAAAAGUGAAUACGAGAAAAUAAAAAGGGGCAAGUGCCCGGAACCUCGAACAAUAGAAAAAGUGAGACGAGACGUAAAAAUAGACAAGUGUUUGAUAGUAGAAUUAGGGGUACAGGAUACCCACCUGAGAGAAAAGAAAAAGAAAAAGUAGAGCAUCUCAUUCGCCUCAAAAGUGUCAAAGAGCAAGAAAGGUAUGUAUCCCCUCAAAAGAGCAAAAGUAGAAUUAGACUUUCACCAUUGUUUUCACCAUCAUCACCAUACACCAUUCAUUCGCCACACAUGCACAUCUUGAUUUGACUUAUUGACUUGUUUCUCUGGAUCCAUGGUUUGACUAUACAAUAAAUGUCUUGUAAGUAUGUAUUAGCUGUCUCCCACCUAUGAGCUCUAGAUAUCAAAACCUUAUUAGAGUAGGGUGAGAGAGGAGGCAAUGUCAGUAUGCCUC